AUUGAACGCUGGCGGCAUGCUUUACACAUGCAAGUCGAACGGUAACAGGCCUUCGGGUGCUGACGAGUGGCGAACGGGUGAGUAAUGCAUCGGAACGUACCCAGAGGUGGGGGAUAACGCAGCGAAAGCUGUGCUAAUAUCGCAUGUGAUCUGAGGAUGAAAGCGGGGGACCGAGCAGCAAUGUUUGGCCUCGCGCCUUUGGAGCGGCCGAUGUCGGAUUAGCUAGUUGGUGGGGUAAAGGCCUGCCAAGGCGACGAUCCGUAGCUGGUCUGAGAGGACGACCAGCCACACUGGGACUGAGACACGGCCCAGACUCCUACGGGAGGCAGCAGUGGGGAAUUUUGGACAAUGGGCGCAAGCCUGAUCCAGCAAUGCCGCGUGCGGGAAGAAGGCCUUCGGGUUGUAAACCGCUUUUGGCAGGAACGAAACGGUGUCCGCUAAUACCGGGCGCUAAUGACGGUACCUGCAGAAUAAGCACCGGCUAACUACGUG
RNAcentral lists this ribosomal RNA (492 nucleotides) under uncultured bacterium. Its description in RNAcentral is "partial 16S ribosomal RNA". It matches the Rfam family "Bacterial small subunit ribosomal RNA", at positions 29 to 507 of the family's 1533-position model. The record is from RNAcentral.